UACGUAGGGGGCAAGCGUUGUCCGGAAUUACUGGGCGUAAAGGGCUUGUAGGUGGCCAACUAAGUCAGACGUGAAAUCCCUCGGCUUAACCGGGGAACUGCGUCUGAUACUGGAUGGCUUGAGUGUGGGAGAGGGAUGCGGAAUUCCAGGUGUAGCGGUGAAAUGCGUAGAUAUCUGGAGGAACACCGGUGGCGAAGGCGGCAUCCUGGACCAUUACUGACACUGAAAAGCGAAAGCCAGGGGAGCAAACGGG
RNAcentral lists this ribosomal RNA (253 nucleotides) under uncultured bacterium. RNAcentral describes it as "partial 16S ribosomal RNA". It matches the Rfam family "Bacterial small subunit ribosomal RNA", at positions 524 to 776 of the family's 1533-position model. The record is from RNAcentral.